ACAUUGCCUGGCUGCAGGGCUGCUGGUAUCAUCUGGAGAUACCAAUCUCUUCCUGCACUUGGUCUCGUCUAGCGGACUGGAAGCAGACCUGCCCAUGCUGCUGCCGCUGUUGCCUGUGUCUCUUUGCUGGGCAAGGUCAAGGGCAGACUUCAUUGUACAGGGGAAGGCAGGCAUGCUAUGGAACCCAUGUGCUAUGAACCACAAUUACUAUAAGGUACGCACCUCCAAGGCACGAACCAUUCAGAAUGUUUCAGUCCCACAACUUAACUCUGGCUCAUUCAGCUGCUUAAGCAGAUGAUGUACAUGCUUUCCCAGCUGAUAAGCUAUAAAAGACAGAAUAUGCAUCAACGCUCAUCUUUUUGGAAGAAAGAAAACAGUGAGGAAGUUUUCCUUGAAGAUUCACCCUAACCUCCCCUGCGGUUCAGUCAGUACAAAUAAACAGCACCAUGGAGAACCAACACUAGGGAAAACCAGUCAUGUAAGGACAACAUUGUGACGAGGGAUGUUGCAGGAAUUAAAGGUGAUUAUGCAAGGUCAGCAUGGAUAUGUGCUGUACUAGAGGGACAAAUGGAUCAAGGAUUUAUGCAAUAUGAGAGGGGCUGUCAUCAUUAUCUAACUGAUGGCCCCCGUGUUCCCAUCAGGGUUGCUGCUGCAAAGAAUCUAAUCCAGUCUAUCAGAACAGGAUUCACCUCUGAU
Molecule: long non-coding RNA, 696 nt
Organism: Alligator sinensis (Chinese alligator)
Lineage: Eukaryota; Metazoa; Chordata; Crocodylia; Alligatoridae
Exons: 4
Source: RefSeq, a predicted model, not a curated record